CCCUAAAUCUAGAGACCUCAAAGGUGGCGCCCAUCUCCAACUGGGUUCGCCUCGUUGAGCUUGCCAAACUCGCCCGAGUAUUCAGACGAGUUCAUCUAACUCGUCACAUGGUCUCUCCUCCUCUCUCUCCAACGUGGCAUAACUGUCUCUGACAGAAUAUUUUCAGCGUUUUGCCAUCUUCACGCGCUCUUGAUUUCGAGGGAUAAAUCUCGGGUAAAUGGGAGCGGUUGGAUGUGAGAAAUCACAUCCACGCCUUCCAUUUUGUCCGAGUUUUGUUCCUUGCGGAGAUUUUGGUGGCUUUUUUGGAAUUGGGGAUAAGAUUCGGGGAAUUUCUUGGAGGUAAAGCCAGAAGGUUCGAGAAGCUUGAAGUAUAUUUGAGACCUGAGGUUAUUUCAAAAGACCAAAAAAAGAUACUCUGUUUUCAUGAUCAUUCCGGAUUCUGGUUCUAAUGUGGAAUUCGAUUGAGCGGAGGCUGUUUUGAGUUCAUCGUCAUUGUUGUUCGUCGUAGAUUCCCGUCGAGGUAUCCUGGUCUUCAUUGAUUCAUUUGGUUUUGGUUCUGAAAUCCUUUGUUGUGGAUUCAUUUGGUUUUGGUUCGAGUGAUCCGCUGUAAUCGCCAAACUUUGUUAAUUGAAAAGGUGAUUUCAGGUACUAGUUUCAUUUUCGAAAUUAAGUGAUAUCGAACUACCCUGUGCUAUGAAUUGAAUAAAGUCUGCAUAUGUCCCUGAAUACUUCCUUGUUACUAUGAUGAAAUCUUAGCUCUCUUUUCUUCCUCCCUGUUCUUUCCAUUUGUUAUGAUCGACUGGAUUUUAUAUCCAUUUUUCUGUUUCUUUUAACAUCAGUUGGAAUGUUUAAGAAUUUAUCUGAAGUAUUUGAUUUAGUCAUUUCUUAAACAUGCUGUUUGGAAUAGCAGGGCAAAAAUAAGUAUGAAAAUCGAUCGUGUGUUUUCUAGGAAUACGAGUUGUAUAUUAUUUGUUUCCUUUCUUUGCAAAACAUCUGCUCCCAUGAGAUUGUCUGGAAGAACAUGGGUUGCUGCUUGAUUGCCUGCUGUUAGCAUUCUCUUAGUUUACUUGUAGUAGCAUGUUGUUGGAAUCUAGAUUAGACAACAUCUUCGUUUCUUUUCAGCAGUGGCAUUAAUAGUGAAACUCGUGUGAUUUAAGUGUUAAAGUUGUGUUGAUUUAGUUGUAACUGCUGCUCUGUUUCAGUCCGUGUAAUUGCCUCGGUUUGAUUAAUCAGAAAACUCUAACUUCAGGCCUAUCUCAUUCUUCUUUUUAACAUCACUGAUUCUCCAUGUGUGGUGAGAGCUGUUCGAAUUUGGUAGUUCUCUUGUUGAAGUUUAGUAGUUCUCUUGCUCUUUGAUUGAAAUAAAUCAUUGUUGGAACUUAGAUUUCCUUGGUACAUAAUUCUAUUAAAUCAGGCAACGCUUUGCUUGAUACCACAUGCUUUGUUGAACCAAAAUGGAGGAUUCUGUAGUUUGUUUGUUUUCAACUGAUUUCGUUUCUGGGUAAGUAUAAAUUUGAGUGAUACCGAGCGUGUUAUUUAAUCGAUCAUGUGUUACCCCUGAUUUUGAAAUGUGAUUUUGGCCUGAUUUUCGUACUGAUUUCGGGGCUUUUCACUGUUGUUUUAUGGUGCGAAAUCGGCUUUUUUUUACUCUGAAAAUGGUAGUCUUUUGAGGGGAAGAAGAAGGUGUUCUGGGGGGCCGAUUUUCAGCAGUAAUACAACUGUUUUGGGGUUUCUUUUUGGGUCGUUUGUUUGGUUUCAAGGGCUGUUUUGUUGUUCUUUUGUGCUGGAAUUUCUAGCUACAAUUUUGCUGAGUCUUGGCGAGUUUCGGGGUUGUUUAAAUGGGAGAAAUCUUGUGCAUUUCAAGGGAGGGUAAAGUUUAGUAUUCUUUGAUCAGGAUUCAGUGUGAGUUUUGUCUAAUUUACAGUCAUGGUGUGAAGGAGUUGAGAUGCAUUUGAAUGAAUACUAGCAGCGGUUUUUUAUGAA
Non-coding RNA from Nicotiana tabacum (common tobacco), 1983 nucleotides. The record is from RefSeq and is a predicted model, not a curated record. Lineage: Eukaryota; Viridiplantae; Streptophyta; Magnoliopsida; Solanales; Solanaceae.